Molecule: ribosomal RNA, 465 nt
Filed under: uncultured bacterium
Lineage: Bacteria
Description: partial 16S ribosomal RNA
Rfam family: Bacterial small subunit ribosomal RNA
Source: RNAcentral
GACGAACGCUGGCGGCGUGCUUAACACAUGCAAGUCGAACGGAGAGGCCCCUUUGGGGGUCCUCGAGUGGCGAACGGGUGAGUAACACGUGAGUAACCUGCCCUUGACUUCGGGAUAACUUCAGGAAACUGGGGCUAAUACCGGAUAGGAAUCCUUGCUGCAUGGUGGGGGUUGGAAAGCUUCGGCGGUUUUGGAUGGACUCGCGGCUUAUCAGCUUGUUGGUGGGGUAGUGGCUUACCAAGGCUUUGACGGGUAGCCGGCCUGAGAGGGCGACCGGCCACAUUGGGACUGAGAUACGGCCCAGACUCCUACGGGAGGCAGCAGUGGGGAAUAUUGCACAAUGGGCGGAAGCCUGAUGCAGCAACGCCGCGUGCGGGAUGACGGCCUUCGGGUUGUAAACCGCUUUCAGCAGGGGCGAAGCUUGUGGUGACGGUACCUGCAGAAGAAGCACCGGCUAACUACGUG